This is a long non-coding RNA of Onychostoma macrolepis, 903 nucleotides long. RefSeq lists it as uncharacterized. The transcript has 3 exons. NCBI's taxonomy places the organism in Eukaryota, Metazoa, Chordata, Actinopteri, Cypriniformes, Cyprinidae. The record is from RefSeq and is a predicted model, not a curated record.
GAGGUGCUGUCUACAGUACUCAUCGACAGUAAUGGAAGCGCGAGCGGAUGAUUUGAAUUAAUUUCAGGCUAUCCAUUAGGAGCUGUGUGAGAAAAUAUGGCGCCUUUUCAUUGAGCCUGUUUUUCGAUAACUACAGCAAAUUUUGAUGAUACCACAGCGGACAUCAUGCCAACCGAUCACGACUGAGGUCGGGUGGAAAGACUGGAGAACUACAGCAGAUGAGCAUGGCAGUCCAGCUGGAUGUUCCGACGGUUGCUGCUCGCAUCUCAGCCUGCUGGAUGGAAAUUACUUGCUGGAUGAUGAAUGACCUUCAACUCAACCAUGUCAAACUGCUCAUGUUUUCAGCCAACCCAACAUGUAUAAACUUCACCAACCACAUUGCACUGCCUGAUCCUGUGGAUAUACCUUGUACAACAUUAGGAAGAUCAGGCCCUUCCUUUUGGAGCAUGCUACACAACUCCUUGUCCAAGCUUUUGUUCUAUCCAGACUGGACUGUUGUAAUGCUCUCUUGGCAGGCCUUCCAGCAUGCACUGUCAAACCUCUGCAGCUGAUCCAGAAUGCUGCAGCAAGAGUGAUCUUUAACUAGCCGAAUAGAGCACACGUCACACCUCUCUUAAUGAGUUUGCACUGACUGCCAAUUGCCGCUCACAUCAAAUUGAAGGCACUGAUGUUUGUCUGCAGAACAACCACUGGCUCUGCACCCCUAUACAUAAACUCACUACUUCAGACCUGUGUCCUCCAGAAGUUUGCGUUCUGCAAGUGAAUCACGCCUUGUGGUGCCAUCCCAUAGACACACAAAAUCACUUUCAUGGACCUUUACUUUGACUGUUACCUGCUGUUGAGAUAAACUGCCUAACUCCACCCAUUUUCAAGAAAUGGCUAAAAUGUAUAUUUUCAUGAAUA